AUGGUGCUGCUGAUGCAAAGUGUUUCUCUAUGGAAAUGUUCUGACUCCAACAGGGACUUGAAUCUCUAUGAUUAUUCAGAGAGCCGUGUCUCUCUACAGUCAGAGGUUUUUGUACGACGACUCAACCAGUUUGUAUCACUGUGGUUGACUUUUGGUGGAGGAACCAGACUGGAUGUUGGAAGUGAUGCUCGUCCCACCCUGACGGUGCUGCCCCCCUCCACAGAGGAGCUGCAGCAGGGGAAGGCCACACUCAUGUGUCUGGCCAACAAGGGCUUCCCCUCAGACUGGAGUCUGUCCUGGAAGGUGGACGGCAGCAGCAGCAGCAGCUAUGAGGACAGCAGGAGCCCCGGGGUGCUGCAGAAGGACGGCCACUACAGCUGGAGCAGCACCCUGAGGCUCUCUGCAGACCAGUGGAGGAAGGUGGGCUCUGUGACCUGUGAGGCCACCCAGGGCUCCCAGUCUCCACUCUCAGAGACACUGAGGAGAGACCAGUGUUCCCAGUACUGACCUGAUUUACUGGAACUCUCACAAGUUUUCUCUCUGUCACUGAUCUCUGACUCUUUAUUUUAUUUCUUCCAUUUUCUCUAAGCUUUUUUUCUAGUUAGUUUCUCUGUUCAUCUGUGUUUCUUCACAAUAAAGAAUUUUUUUUGUCAAACAGA
Non-coding RNA from Melanotaenia boesemani (Boeseman's rainbowfish), 659 nucleotides. NCBI's taxonomy places the organism in Eukaryota, Metazoa, Chordata, Actinopteri, Atheriniformes, Melanotaeniidae. The record is from the annotation of a RefSeq genome assembly.